Long non-coding RNA from Oncorhynchus keta (chum salmon), 1305 nucleotides. RefSeq lists it as uncharacterized. Lineage: Eukaryota; Metazoa; Chordata; Actinopteri; Salmoniformes; Salmonidae. The transcript has 6 exons. The record is from RefSeq and is a predicted model, not a curated record.
GAGAGAAGAGAGAGGGAGAGAGAAGGAGAGGGAGAGAGAAGGAGAGGAGAGAGAUGAAAGGGGGAGGAGAGAGGGGGAGAGUAGAAGGAGAGAGAGGGAGAGGAGAGUGAGAGAGAAGGAGAGGGGGAGAGAGAGAGAGAGAGGAGGGAGAGAGAAGGAGAGAGGGGGAGAUGAUGCCACUUUAGAUGACUACCCAUAAUAGCUAGAUCUGUACUUAAACUAUAGAUCUGUCUCCAUCUGUACAUAAACUAUAGAUCUGUCUAGAUCUGUACAUAAACUAUAGAUCUGUCUCGUUUAGGACUAGGUCCAGUUGAAAGACGCCUAAAAUAACCAUUUGAAGGAAUUUGUCCGAAAAUGGUACCCUAUUCCAUUUAUAGUGCACUACUUUUAGCUACAACCCUAUGGUCCCUGGUCAAAAGUAGUGCACUAUAUAGGGAAUAGGGUUCCAUUUGGAACACAGGUAAUGUCAGAACCACAAAGAGAAGCCCAGAGUGCUGACUCACAUCCUCCUGUUCUCCCGCUCUCUUUCAAUCUCCUGUUCCAUCAGCUGCAUCUAGAGAUACAAUAUCAUCUCUGAGAUCAAUGUUCUCUCUCUCUCACACACACGUCAGAGGUGAGCCUGUCUGGUCUGUCUUGAUGGAUUAACAAUUUUAUGAGAUCUGGCUAUAGGUCUGAAUGAGGUAUGGCUAUAGGUCUGAAUGAGGUAUGGCUAUAGGUCUGAAUGAGGUAUGGCUAUAGGUCUGAAUGAGAUCUGGCUAUAGGUCUGAAUGAGGUAUGGCUAUAGGUCUGAAUGAGGUAUGGCUAUAGGUCUGAAUGAGGUAUGGUUAUAGGUCUGAAUGAGGUAUGGCUAUAGGUCUGAAUGAGGUAUGGUUAUAGGUCUGAAUGAGGUAUGGCUAUAGGUCUGAAUGAAGUAUGGUUAUAGGUCUGAAUGAGGUAUGGCUAUAGGUCUGAAUGAGAUCUGGUUAUAGGUCUGAAUGAGGUAUGGCUAUAGGUCUGAAUGAGGUAUGGCUAUAGGUCUGAAUGAGGUAUGGUUAUAGGUCUGAAUGAGGUAUGGCUAUAGGUCUGAAUGAGAUCUGGUUAUAGGUCUGAAUGAGGUAUGGCUAUAGGUCUGAAUGAGGUAUGGUUAUAGGUCUGAAUGAGAUCUGGCUAUAGGUCUGAAUGAGGUAUGGCUAUAGGUCUGAAUGAGGUAUGGCUAUAGGUCUGAAUGAGGUAUGGCUAUAGGUCUGAAUGAGGUAUGGCUAUAGGUCUGAAUGAGGUAUGGCUAUAGGUCUGAAUGAGGUAUGGUUAUAGGUCUGAAUGAGGUAU